Molecule: long non-coding RNA, 1130 nt
Filed under: Salmo salar (Atlantic salmon)
Lineage: Eukaryota; Metazoa; Chordata; Actinopteri; Salmoniformes; Salmonidae
Description: lncRNA (ENSSSAG00000090953.1)
Source: RNAcentral
AAAACACUCUAAAGUUUCUAAAACUGUUUGAAUGGUGUCUGUGAGUAUAACAGAACUCAUAUGGCAGGCCAAAACCUGAGAAGAUUCCAUACAGGAAGUGCCCUGUCUGACAAUUUGUUGUCCUUCUGUUGCAUCUCUAUCGAAAAUACAGCAUCUGUGCUGUAACGUGACAUUUUCUAAGGCUUCCAUUGGCUCUCUAAAGCCGCCAGAAAGUGGAAUGGGGUGUCUGCUGUCUCUGGGCGAAGAACAGUAGGAGAAUUUGUAAGUGGUCAGCCUGGGGACAGUGACACUGGAGACUACUCCAUUUUGUUUUCUUUCAGCUUUUGAAUGAAUACAACGUUGCCCGGUUGGAAUAUUAUCGCUAUUUUAUGUGAAACAUAGCAUAAAAAAUGAUUUUAAACAGCGUUUGACAUGCUUCUAAGUACGGUAAUGGAAUAUUUUGCAUUUUUUUGUGACCUGAACGCAUGAACAAAACUGAGCUAUUUGAAUAUAACUAUGGAUUAUUUGGAACCAAAACAACAUUUGUUGUUGAAGUAGAAGUCCUGGGAGUGCAUUCUGACGAAGAACAGCAAAGAUGCACAAUUGAGAGCAUCCUGUCGGGCUGUAUCACCGCCUGGAACGGCAACUGCACUGCUCACAACCGCAGGUCUCUUCAGUGGGUGGUGAGGUCUGCACAACGCAUCACCGGGGGCAAACUACCUGUCCUCCAGGACAGCUACACCACCCGAUGUCACAGGAUGGCCAAAAAGAUCAUCAAGGACAACAACCACCCGAACCACUGCCUGUUCACCCCGCUACCCUCCAGAAGGCGAGUGGAGGAGUUGGGCACUUCUCCAACACAAUCCAUUCAUCCAUGAUGAUCCUUUUUCUGCACCGAAGACUCUGAACACCUCAACCCCCUGUCCUGCACUGAAGUCAAGCCUCUGAACAACUCUACUCAUUCCAGCAAUCGCUGCUGCCCUUACCAACACUACGGUAGCAACAAGAUGAAGCGCUGCGAUGUGUGUGGACCCAAGGACAGGAAGACACAGUACACAUUCAUCAAGUGCAAGAAAUACAUUUGCAUCACAAACACAGUAAAACUCUGUCCCUCAUGUGGUGUGUAGACCGGCGUUAACUUUUGUUCAAUG